RNAcentral lists this ribosomal RNA (496 nucleotides) under uncultured bacterium. Its description in RNAcentral is "partial 16S ribosomal RNA". It matches the Rfam family "Bacterial small subunit ribosomal RNA", at positions 28 to 506 of the family's 1533-position model. The record is from RNAcentral.
GAUGAACGCUGGCGGCGUGCCUAAUACAUGCAAGUCGAGCGAACAGACGAGGAGCUUGCUCCUCUGACGUUAGCGGCGGACGGGUGAGUAACACGUGGAUAACCUACCUAUAAGACUGGGAUAACUUCGGGAAACCGGAGCUAAUACCGGAUAAUAUAUUGAACCGCAUGGUUCAAUAGUGAAAGACGGUUUUGCUGUCACUUAUAGAUGGAUCCGCGCCGCAUUAGCUAGUUGGUAAGGUAACGGCUUACCAAGGCGACGAUGCGUAGCCGACCUGAGAGGGUGAUCGGCCACACUGGAGCUGAGACACGGUCCAGACUCCUACGGGAGGCAGCAGUAGGGAAUCUUCCGCAGUGGGCGAAAGCCUGACGGAGCAACGCCGCGUGAGUGAUGAAGGUCUUCGGAUCGUAAAACUCUGUUAUUAGGGAAGAACAAAUGUGUAAGUAACUAUGCACGUCUUGACGGUACCUAAUCAGAAAGCCACGGCUAACUACGU